Molecule: ribosomal RNA, 460 nt
Filed under: uncultured bacterium
Lineage: Bacteria
Description: partial 16S ribosomal RNA
Rfam family: Bacterial small subunit ribosomal RNA
Source: RNAcentral
ACUACGGGGUGCUGCAGUGAGGAAUAUUGGUCAAUGGGCGAGAGCCUGAACCAGCCAAGUCGCGUGAGGGAAGACGGUCCUACGGAUUGUAAACCUCUUUUGUCAGGGAGCAAGGAGCGCCACGAGUGGUGCGGCGAGAGUACCUGAAGAAAAAGCAUCGGCUACCUCCGUGCCAGCAGCCGCGGUAAUACGGAGGAUGCGAGCGUUAUUCGGAUUUAUUGGGUUUAAAGGGUGCGCAGGGGGAAGCGGCAAGUCAGCGGUAAAAGUGCGGGGUGAAACCCCGCCGAGCCGUUGAAACUGGUCUUCUAGAGUGGGCGAGAAGUAUGCGGAAUGCGUGGUGUAGCGGUGAAAUGCAUAGAUAUCACGCAGAACUCCGAUUGCGAAGGCAGCAUACCGGCGCCCAACUGACGCUCAUGCACGAAAGCGUGGGUAUCGAACAGGAUUAGAUACCCCUGUAGUC